GAUGAACGCUGGCGGCGUGCCUAAUACAUGCAAGUCGAGCGAACGGACGAGAAGCUUGCUUCUCUGAUGUUAGCGGCGGACGGGUGAGUAACACGUGGAUAACCUACCUAUAAGACUGGGAUAACUUCGGGAAACCGGAGCUAAUACCGGAUAAUAUUUUGAACCGCAUGGUUCAAAAGUGAAAGACGGUCUUGCUGUCACUUAUAGAUGGAUCCGCGCUGCAUUAGCUAGUUGGUAAGGUAACGGCUUACCAAGGCAACGAUGCAUAGCCGACCUGAGAGGGUGAUCGGCCACACUGGAACUGAGACACGGUCCAGACUCCUACGGGAGGCAGCAGUAGGGAAUCUUCCGCAAUGGGCGAAAGCCUGACGGAGCAACGCCGCGUGAGUGAUGAAGGUCUUCGGAUCGUAAAACUCUGUUAUUAGGGAAGAACAUAUGUGUAAGUAACUGUGCACAUCUUGACGGUACCUAAUCAGAAAGCCACGGCUAACUACGUGCCAGCAGCCGCGGUAAUACGUAGGUGGCAAGCGUUAUCCGGAAUUAUUGGGCGUAAAGCGCGCGUAGGCGGUUUUUUAAGUCUGAUGUGAAAGCCCACGGCUCAACCGUGGAGGGUCAUUGGAAACUGGAAAACUUGAGUGCAGAAGAGGAAAGUGGAAUUCCAUGUGUAGCGGUGAAAUGCGCAGAGAUAUGGAGGAACACCAGUGGCGAAGGCGACUUUCUGGUCUGUAACUGACGCUGAUGUGCGAAAGCGUGGGGAUCAAACAGGAUUAGAUACCCUGGUAGUCCACGCCGUAAACGAUGAGUGCUAAGUGUUAGGGGGUUUCCGCCCCUUAGUGCUGCAGCUAACGCAUUAAGCACUCCGCCUGGGGAGUACGACCGCAAGGUUGAAACUCAAAGGAAUUGACGGGGACCCGCACAAGCGGUGGAGCAUGUGGUUUAAUUCGAAGCAACGCGAAGAACCUUACCAAAUCUUGACAUCCUUUGACAACUCUAGAGAUAGAGCCUUCCCCUUCGGGGGACAAAGUGACAGGUGGUGCAUGGUUGUCGUCAGCUCGUGUCGUGAGAUGUUGGGUUAAGUCCCGCAACGAGCGCAACCCUUAAGCUUAGUUGCCAUCAUUAAGUUGGGCACUCUAAGUUGACUGCCGGUGACAAACCGGAGGAAGGUGGGGAUGACGUCAAAUCAUCAUGCCCCUUAUGAUUUGGGCUACACACGUGCUACAAUGGACAAUACAAAGGGCAGCGAAACCGCGAGGUCAAGCAAAUCCCAUAAAGUUGUUCUCAGUUCGGAUUGUAGUCUGCAACUCGACUACAUGAAGCUGGAAUCGCUAGUAAUCGUAGAUCAGCAUGCUACGGUGAAUACGAUCCCGGGUC
This 1371-nucleotide ribosomal RNA is filed under the name uncultured bacterium. RNAcentral describes it as "bacterial SSU rRNA". It matches the Rfam family "Bacterial small subunit ribosomal RNA", at positions 28 to 1380 of the family's 1533-position model. The record is from RNAcentral.